Molecule: ribosomal RNA, 585 nt
Filed under: uncultured bacterium
Lineage: Bacteria
Description: bacterial SSU rRNA
Rfam family: Bacterial small subunit ribosomal RNA
Source: RNAcentral
CCUACGGGAGGCAGCAGUGGGGAAUUUUGGACAAUGGGCGCAAGCCUGAUCCAGCAAUGCCGCGUGCAGGAUGAAGGCCUUCGGGUUGUAAACUGCUUUUGUACGGAACGAAACGGCGAGCUCUAAUACAGUUUGCUAAUGACGGUACCGUAAGAAUAAGCACCGGCUAACUACGUGCCAGCAGCCGCGGUAAUGCGUAGGGUGCGAGCGUUAAUCGGAAUUACUGGGCGUAAAGCGUGCGCAGGCGGUGAUGUAAGACAGAUGUGAAAUCCCCGGGCUCAACCUGGGACCUGCAUUUGUGACUGCAUCGCUAGAGUACGGUAGAGGGGGAUGGAAUUCCGCGUGUAGCAGUGAAAUGCGUAGAUAUGCGGAGGAACACCGAUGGCGAAGGCAAUCCCCUGGACCUGUACUGACGCUCAUGCACGAAAGCGUGGGGAGCAAACAGGAUUAGAUACCCUGGUAGUCCGCGCCCUAAACGAUGUCAACUGGUUGUUGGGUCUUCACUGACUCAGUAACGAAGCUAACGCGUGAAGUUGACCGCCUGGGGAGUACGGCCGCAAGGUUGAAACUCAAAUGAAUUGACGG